GGCCGGGGAUAGCUCAGUUGGUAGAGCAGAGGACUGAAAAUC
This 42-nucleotide transfer RNA is filed under the name Cucumis gracilis. RNAcentral describes it as "partial tRNA-Phe". The record is from RNAcentral. Lineage: Eukaryota; Viridiplantae; Streptophyta; Magnoliopsida; Cucurbitales; Cucurbitaceae.